Molecule: long non-coding RNA, 228 nt
Organism: Limulus polyphemus (Atlantic horseshoe crab)
Lineage: Eukaryota; Metazoa; Arthropoda; Merostomata; Xiphosura; Limulidae
Exons: 2
Source: RefSeq, a predicted model, not a curated record
CAGACAAAACAGUGAAGUACGAAGUGACGCGUAAAAAACCAAAUGACUUUUAUUUGGAUGAGUAGAAAGCCGCUAUGCCAAAGAUUGCCUUUAUUCUCUAACGGACAGAGAAAACCAUUUAUGUCUUUUCAUUUUUGGUUAGGGAUAUAUUUCUAUUAUAUGGAUCUUUCUCGAUAAUACUAGUAAUAUUGGCCAAGACGUUCAAUAAAAACAUUUUAUUUCUCUAAA